CCUUUAAAGAAAGCGUAAUAGCUCACUGGUCGAGGUUUUUAGCGCCUAAAAUGUAACGGGGCUAAAGUUCAGCACCGAAGCUGUGAGUUUCUUAUUUUUAAUAAGAAGCGGUAGGAGAGCGUUGUCAGUGCACUGAAUCUGAAAUGUGAGUUUUGGUGGAGCGCUGAGAAGUGAGAAUGCAGGCAUGAGUAGCGACAAUCGUGGUGAGAAUCCACGACACCGGAAGCCCAAGGUUUCCUACGCAAUGUUGAUCAUCGUAGGGUUAGUCGGGCCUAAGUGGUAGCGUAUAGCGAACACGAUGGACAUCGGGUCAAAAUUCCCGAACCGUUCAUGUUGUGUUUAAAAUAAAGGGGGGACGCAAGAAGGUAAGUAAAGCAUACCUAUUGGACAUGGUGUGUUUGUUUUUGUAGAUGAUGACCAGAUAGGUAAAUCCGUUUGGUAUUUUAGUUGAGGAAAACAAAAACUAGAGAGCUUAGCUCAAAGGAAUUUUGCUGAUCCUAUGUUGCCAAGAAAAUCCUCGUUAUUAAUAACAUGAGCGACCGUACCGCAAACCGACACAGGUAGGCAGGGAUAAGCGUCCCAAGGUGAACGAAAGAACCUUCGUUAAGGAACUCGACAGAUUGACCCCGUAACUUAGGGAGAAGGGGUGCCUGUUAUUUGAUACUGAUUUACUUAGUAAAGGGUAAUAGGCCGCAGUGAAUCGGUCCAAGCGACUGUUUAUCAAAAACAUAGGUCUAUGCUAAACCGAAAGGUGAUGUAUAUGGGCUGACGCCUGCCCAGUGCCGGAAGGUUAAGAGGAGAGGUUAGGAUUUAUCCAAAGCUUUGAAUUGAAGCCCCGGUGAACGGCGGCCGUAACUAUAACGGUCCUAAGGUAGCGAAAUCCCUUGUCAGGUAAGUUCUGACCCGCACGAAUGGCGUAACGACUUGGACAUUGUCUCAACGAAGGACUCGGUGAAAUUGCAGGACCAGUGAAGAUGCUGGUUACCUACGACAGGACAAAAAGACCCCGUGGAGCUUUACUGUAGCUUGGCAGUGAUUUAGGCUUAUAAACGUGUAGGAUAGGCGGGAGACUUUGAAGCUUUAACGCUAGUUAGAGUGGAGUCGCCCUUGAAAUACCGCCCUUUUAUAAUUUUGGAUCUAACUUUAUUUUUAUGAAGGACCCUGCCUGGUGGGCAGUUUGACUGGGGCGGUCGCCUCCUAAACAAUAACGGAGGCGCCCAAAGGUUCCCUCAAGGUGGAUUGGAAAUCACCUUUCGAGUGUAUUGGCAUAAGGGAGCUUGACUGUGAGACCUACAAGUCGAGCAGGGACGAAAGUCGGGCAAAGUGAUCCUAUGGUACCGAAUGGAAGGGCCAUAGCUUAACGGAUAAAAGCUACCCCGGGGAUAACAGGCUUAUCUCCCCC
RNAcentral lists this ribosomal RNA (1402 nucleotides) under marine metagenome. RNAcentral describes it as "bacterial LSU rRNA". It matches the Rfam family "Bacterial large subunit ribosomal RNA", at positions 1120 to 2493 of the family's 2925-position model. The record is from RNAcentral.